Molecule: non-coding RNA, 828 nt
Organism: Drosophila melanogaster (fruit fly)
Lineage: Eukaryota; Metazoa; Arthropoda; Insecta; Diptera; Drosophilidae
Source: Ensembl
AAAACCACUGGCUUGCUUUUAAAUAUAAAUCAAAAUUCUUAAGUUUGUUUCAAAUGCAUCAACAGCAAGCAGAAGUGAUUAAAAAAUCACCGUGAAGUCAAUUUAAUGAAAAUUACAUAGUCUUUAUAAAGAUGUUGUUGAUACUCUUGGUUGCCUGCUUUUACCUCGCCUUCGGAUUUCUUAUUUUAUAUUUGAUAUGCCUUCUUUUAGUAAUAUGCUUGUCUAUUUUCUUUGACUACGAUCCGAUAAACAGUUAAUGCAUCUUUAUUUGGAUAGAAAAUAAACAUGCUUGGGAUUGCGAAAAUCAAAGAAAUCAUAAGGCGCGGCAAGUCAAGUGCGUUUCGAGAAAUAUCAUUAAUUUCCCGUUUAGCCGGCAACAACCCCGAAAAGCUUCCAGACAGGAGACCAAAACCAACACAAUGCCCAGCUCCAUGAUGUCCGUGAUGAUGAUUACGCUGCACUCGCUGAGCCUGAGCUGGAUUUUUAAUUGGCCUAGUCCAUUGAGUGCUCCAUUUGCCGGUUUCCCAUCUGUGUACUCAUCAGAUAUCUGCUGGCCAAGGUGCCAGUGGGGUGAAUUGCAGGGCAGAUGCCCAACGAUAAUGGACAGCUGAGAUUUGCGCUCGGAUAGCAGUAACUGUGAAAACAAGUUUGAAUUGCAAAUGAGUGAAUUGCGAAUGAACUGGGAAUUUUCAAAUUGCUAUUUGAAGAACAAUGGGCUUGAUAUCUUGGUGACCAAGCCUGGAAUCGAUGAAUUCACAUUGAAAUUAAAAUAAAGGUUUUAUAUCAGUAUUGAAAGUAAAUUAAAAAAUAAAAUGUUUUGAAAUUGCC